CUACGGGAGGCUCCAGUGAGGAAUAUUGCACAAUGGGGGGAACCCUGAUGCAGCAACGCCGCGUGAGGAUGACGCAUUUCGGUGUGUAAACUCCUUUUAUAUGUCAAGAAAAUGACGGUAGCAUAUGAAUAAGCACCGGCUAACUCCGUGCCAGCAGCCGCGGUAAUACGGAGGGUGCAAGCGUUACUCGGAAUCACUGGGCGUAAAGGACGCGUAGGCGGGUUGGAAAGUCAGGUGUGAAAUCCUACAGCUUAACUGUAGAACUGCACUUGAAACUUCUAAUCUAGAGUAUGGGAGGGGGAGAUGGAAUUAGUGGUGUAGGGGUAAAAUCCGUAGAUAUCACUAGGAAUACCUAAAGCGAAGGCGAUCUCCUGGAACAUUACUGACGCUAAGGCGUGAAAGCGUGGGGGGCAAACAGGAUUAGAUACCCCGGUAGUC
RNAcentral lists this ribosomal RNA (438 nucleotides) under uncultured bacterium. RNAcentral describes it as "partial 16S ribosomal RNA". It matches the Rfam family "Bacterial small subunit ribosomal RNA", at positions 339 to 795 of the family's 1533-position model. The record is from RNAcentral.